UGGCGGAGAUCUGUAGAGAAGCUCCGGUAUCGUGGUGUGGAAGGUGUGAAGCUUGGUGAGCAAAGGAGGAUCAGGUAUGUAGAGUGUUAGAUUGUUAAAAGGAAAUGUUCAUGGGAGAUGGGAAGAGAACGAAAGAGGGUGAGUGAAGGGAAGAUUGAACGAGUUCAAUCGGAAUGUGUCCGAUCUGGACGAACUCGUCCAUCGACAACCUUGCCUUCAAAUAAACAGGGAUCCUACGUUUUGGAUUUCCUGAGCUACUGUUAGGAAGAUAGGAAAUAAUUAUAUUAUAAUCAGAUGCUAUCUUAUAGAUUUUUAAAUUAUAUUAUGCUGAUUCACCAUGAUAGAUGUAUAUUAAAUUGAUUCUUCCCUAUUAUUUAUGAUGAUAAAUAUGGUGAUUCUUAUGGUCAGUAAGGAUAACCGUAGUGAUGCUAAAUCGAAUUGAUUUAUGGUCAGUAAUAUUAAAUCAUCAGAUUCUUAUGUUAGAUCUGAUGAUUCUUAUGUUUAUGAUGUUCUAAUGAUUAUUUAAUUAAUUCUUAUGUUAAAUUUAAUGAUUCUUAUUGUUUAUCAUGUUAGAUCUAAUGAUUAUAUUUAAUUGAUUCUUGUGUUAAAUCUAAUUAUUCUUAGUGCUGAUGAUAUAUAUCAAUUUUACUGAUCUUGGAGUAUUGCCUUAUGAGUUGUUAAAAUUAGUGAUAUUUGAUUGCAUGAUAACCUAUGAUGACUGAAACUGAUUGCAUUAAUUUGUUAAUAGUUUGAAUAUACUAAUAGUUUGAAACAGUAAUGUAAAAAUACUAAUGAUUUGAAAGAUUUAAGAUAUGUGAUUGCUAUAUGAUGCUAAUCCGAAUUAGUGCUAUGACUGAAACUGCUUUACUUAACUGAAUGUAUUGCUGAUUUAAAAAUGAUAAUAUGAUUAGGGGAGGGAUUACAUGAAUGUGGGGAACAAGGGUAGAAAUGCAUGUGUAAACGAGUUAAGGAAUGAAUGAACGAACGAAGGAAUAAAUGAAUGAAGAAAUGAAUGAAUGCAUGAGUGACAUAUGACUGAGGUGUUUUGACGCCUAACCGAAGGUGAAUGAUGAAUGACGAAUGAUGACCUAUAUGGGUCUUAUGAAUGAUGAUUGAUUGAUGAACUAGAUUAAGGAUUACUUGCUUGCUUAUUAUGUGAAUCCUUACUAUUUGUAGAGUUAAAUAACUUGAUAUUUGAGACAUGUUACUGAGUGACGAAUACAUACAAUGUUGCAGAGAAUGGAGGUAGUCUUGCCUAACUGGAAUGGUAGGAAAUAAAUGACUUGUCGAGGCGACGAGGCUCGCUUGCGUAGAACAUACACUCUUAUAGUCAUUGUUAUCCAUUUUGGGGUUGUAAUAAACACUAUCUUAGAUUUCUUAAAGACCGAACAAUUUGGAAUAUUUGUUAUAUUCAAAUUCUGUUAGGAAAAUAUGGUAUUAUAAGUCCUUUGAGUA
Molecule: long non-coding RNA, 1455 nt
Filed under: Zostera marina
Lineage: Eukaryota; Viridiplantae; Streptophyta; Magnoliopsida; Alismatales; Zosteraceae
Description: long non-coding RNA (ZMAR_LNC001164)
Source: RNAcentral